This 504-nucleotide ribosomal RNA is filed under the name Triticum aestivum (bread wheat). Its description in RNAcentral is "partial small subunit ribosomal RNA". Lineage: Eukaryota; Viridiplantae; Streptophyta; Magnoliopsida; Poales; Poaceae. The record is from RNAcentral.
AUGGCGCCGCCCCACACCUCCGCUGCAGGCCCGCAGCAGCGGCGCCUCCUCAAGGCGGCGGCCGACGGCGACCUCGGUCGCUUCAAGAGCAUCGCCAGCGCGCUGGAUGGCGGGAAGGGCCGCGUCAGGGAGGCGGUGGAGGCCGCCAGGGACGGGGGAUCCGGAGCGCUGCACGCCGCCGCCCGCCACGGGAGGAUGCCGGUGUACGUCUACCUCGUCGAGCAGCUUGGCGUGAACGUCGAUGCCGCAGACGACAAAGGUGAUACACCUCUGAUGUAUGCACUUGGUUGGGGGAAUUUGGAUAUUGUGAGGUAUCUCCUUGAUCAUGAUGCUGAUCCAGAAAAGCCUGGUGAACACGGAGCGACCGCUCUCCAUGUGGCAGCUGGAGAAGGAAUGUGUGAAAUGAUAGAAGUCUUGCUCUCAAAAGGAGCUAUGUUAAUUCCGUUUCUUUCUGUGGGACACCAUUGCAUGCUGCUAUUAUCGGGAAGCAUGAUGCUGCUGUGA